Molecule: ribosomal RNA, 550 nt
Filed under: Cryphonectria parasitica (chestnut blight fungus)
Lineage: Eukaryota; Fungi; Ascomycota; Sordariomycetes; Diaporthales; Cryphonectriaceae
Description: eukaryotic LSU rRNA
Rfam family: Eukaryotic large subunit ribosomal RNA
Source: RNAcentral
GAAAAGAAACCAACAGGGAUUGCCCUAGUAACGGCGAGUGAAGCGGCAACAGCUCAAAUUUGAAAUCUGGCUUCGGCCCGAGUUGUAAUUUGCAGAGGAUGUUUCUGGCGCGGUGCCUUCCGAGUUCCCUGGAACGGGACGCCACAGAGGGUGAGAGCCCCGUAUGGUUGGACACCAAGCCUGUGUGAAACUCCUUCGACGAGUCGAGUAGUUUGGGAAUGCUGCUCAAAAUGGGAGGUAAAUCUCUUCUAAAGCUAAAUACCGGCCAGAGACCGAUAGCGCACAAGUAGAGUGAUCGAAAGAUGAAAAGCACCUUGAAAAGGGGGUUAAACAGUACGUGAAAUUGUUGAAAGGGAAGCGCUUGUGACCAGACUUGCGCCGGGCGGUUCAUCCGGGGUUCUCCCCGGUGCACUCCGCCCGGCUCAGGCCAGCAUCGGUUUUCGUUGGGGGAUAAGAACGGCAGGAACGUGGCCCUCCUUCGGGUGGGUGUUAUAGCCUGCCGUACGAUACCCUGACGGGGACCGAGGUUCGCGCUCCGCAAGGAUGCUGG